UUCCGGUUGAUCCUGCCGGAGGUCACUGCUAUUGGGAUUCGACUAAGCCAUGCGAGUCGCGAGGGUUCGGCCCUCGGCUGACGGCUCAGUAACACGCGGAUAAUCUGCCCUUAGGUGGAGGAUAACCUCGGGAAACUGAGAAUAAGACUCCAUAGAUCUAGGAGGCUGGAAUGCACUUAGAUCAAAAACUUCGGUGCCUAAGGAUGAGUCUGCGGACUAUCAGGUAGUAGUCAGGGUAAUGACCUGACCAGCCUAUGACGGAUACGGGUUGUGAGAGCAAUAACCCGGAGAUGAUAUCUGAGACACGAUAUCAGGCCCUACGGGGCGCAGCAGGCGCGAAAACUUCACACUGUGCGAAAGCACGAUGAGGGAAUCCCAAGUGCUGGCUCGUAAGAGUCAGCUGUUUUUCUGUCUAGAAAACAGAGAGAGUAAGAGCUGGGUAAGACGGGUGCCAGCCGCCGCGGUAAUACCUGCAGCUCAAGUGGUGGCCGCUAUUAUUGGGCCUAAAACGUUCGUAGCCGGUCUAGUAAAUGCCUGGGUAAAUCAUACGGCUUAACCGUACGAAUUCCGGGUAGACUGCUGGACUUGGGACUGGGAGAGGCUAGAGGUACUCCUGGGGUAGAGGUGAAAUUCUGUAAUCUCUAGGGGGACGACCAGUGGCGAAGGCGUCUAGCUAGAACAGGUCUGACGGUGAGGAACGAAGCCCUGGGGCGCAAACGGGAUUAGAUACCCCGGUAGUCCAGGGUGUAAACGCUGCUUGCUUGAUGUUAGUCGGGCUCCGAGCCCGAUUAGUGUCGGAGAGAAGUUGUUAAGCAAGCUGCCUGGGGAGUACGGCGCAAGACUGAAACUUAAAGGAAUUGGCGGGGGAGCACGCAACGGGUGGAGCGUGCGGUUUAAUUGGAUUCA
This 906-nucleotide ribosomal RNA is filed under the name uncultured archaeon. Its description in RNAcentral is "bacterial SSU rRNA". It matches the Rfam family "Archaeal small subunit ribosomal RNA", at positions 1 to 914 of the family's 1478-position model. The record is from RNAcentral.